Molecule: ribosomal RNA, 650 nt
Filed under: uncultured marine bacterium
Lineage: Bacteria
Description: bacterial SSU rRNA
Rfam family: Bacterial small subunit ribosomal RNA
Source: RNAcentral
AGAGGCUUGCUUCUCGCUGACGAGCGGCGGACGGGUGAGUAAUGCGUAGGAAUCUACCCUUUUGUGGGGGAUAGCCCGGAGAAAUCCGGAUUAAUACCGCAUAAGCUCUUCGGAGGAAAGUGGGGGAUCUUCGGACCUCACGCUGAAGGAUGAGCCUACGUUGGAUUAGCUUGUUGGUGGGGUAAAGGCCUACCAAGGCGACGAUCCAUAGCUGGUCUGAGAGGAUGAUCAGCCACACCGGGACUGAGACACGGCCCGGACUCCUACGGGAGGCAGCAGUGGGGAAUAUUGGACAAUGGGCGCAAGCCUGAUCCAGCCAUGCCGCGUGUGUGAAGAAGGCUCUAGGGUUGUAAAGCACUUUAAGCAGGGAAGAAACGCUGUUGGUUAAUAACCAUCAGUACUGACGGUACCUGCAGAAUAAGCACCGGCUAACUCCGUGCCAGCAGCCGCGGUAAUACGGAGGGUGCAAGCGUUAAUCGGAUUUACUGGGCGUAAAGCGUGCGUAGGCGGCUACGUAAGUCAGUUGUGAAAGCCCCGGGCUUAACCUGGGAACUGCAAUUGAUACUGCGUGGCUAGAAUUCGGUAGAGGAAGGUGGAACUCCAGGUGUAGCGGUGAAAUGCGUAGAUAUCUGGAAGAACAUCAAUGGCGA